This 781-nucleotide ribosomal RNA is filed under the name uncultured bacterium. RNAcentral's name for it is "bacterial SSU rRNA". It matches the Rfam family "Bacterial small subunit ribosomal RNA", at positions 28 to 809 of the family's 1533-position model. The record is from RNAcentral.
GAUGAACGCUGGCGGCGUGCCUAACACAUGCAAGUCGAGCGAAGCACUUUGCUUAGAUUCUUCGGAUGAAGAGGAUUGUGACUGAGCGGCGGACGGGUGAGUAACGCGUGGGUAACCUGCCUCAUACAGGGGGAUAACAGUUAGAAAUGACUGCUAAUACCGCAUAAGACCACAGCACCGCAUGGUGCGGGGGUAAAAACUCCGGUGGUAUGAGAUGGACCCGCGUCUGAUUAGCUGGUUGGUAAGGUAACGGCUUACCAAGGCGACGAUCAGUAGCCGACCUGAGAGGGUGACCGGCCACAUUGGGACUGAGACACGGCCCAAACUCCUACGGGAGGCAGCAGUGGGGAAUAUUGCACAAUGGGGGAAACCCUGAUGCAGCGACGCCGCGUGAGCGAAGAAGUAUUUCGGUAUGUAAAGCUCUAUCAGCAGGGAAGAAAAUGACGGUACCUGACUAAGAAGCACCGGCUAAAUACGUGCCAGCAGCCGCGGUAAUACGUAUGGUGCAAGCGUUAUCCGGAUUUACUGGGUGUAAAGGGAGCGUAGACGGAUGGGCAAGUCUGAUGUGAAAACCCGGGGCUCAACCCCGGGACUGCAUUGGAAACUGUUCAUCUAGAGUGCUGGAGAGGUAAGUGGAAUUCCUAGUGUAGCGGUGAAAUGCGUAGAUAUUAGGAGGAACACCAGUGGCGAAGGCGGCUUACUGGACAGUAACUGACGUUGAGGCUCGAAAGCGUGGGGAGCAAACAGGAUUAGAUACCCUGGUAGUCCACGCCGUAAACGA